This 147-nucleotide small RNA is filed under the name Vibrio parahaemolyticus K5030. RNAcentral's name for it is "t44 RNA". The stretch from base 54 to 146 matches the Rfam family "t44 RNA". Rfam says of the family: This family consists of a number of bacterial RNA genes of between 135 and 170 bases in length. The t44 gene is found between the map and rpsB genes in all species in the full alignment apart from Shigella flexneri. Lineage: Bacteria; Pseudomonadati; Pseudomonadota; Gammaproteobacteria; Vibrionales; Vibrionaceae. The record is from RNAcentral.
CUGUUCUCUUCGCUCUGCAAAAGCUAAGCGGCGAAGCAAGCUUCAUCCGAUUAACCUUUUUAUCUUUAAAUCACACACAUUCCGUCACAUGUUCCGGGUGCUGAGCAGAAGCUUGGUCGGAAUUAUGGGGGAUGUGGAGGCCUAACC